AGAGCGAACGCUGGCGGCAGGCCUAACACAUGCAAGUCGAACGGGCCCUUCGGGGUUAGUGGCGGACGGGUGAGUAACACGUGGGAACGUGCCUUUUGGUUCGGAAUAGCUCCUGGAAACGGGUGGUAAUGCCGAAUGUGCCCUUUGGGGGAAAGAUUUAUCGCCAUUAGAGCGGCCCGCGUCCGAUUAGCUAGUUGGUGAGGUAAAGGCUCACCAAGGCGACGAUCAGUAGCUGGUCUGAGAGGAUGACCAGCCACAUUGGGACUGAGACACGGCCCAAACUCCUACGGGAGGCAGCAGUGGGGAAUCUUGCGCAAUGGGCGAAAGCCUGACGCAGCCAUGCCGCGUGAAUGAUGAAGGUCUUAGGAUUGUAAAAUUCUUUCACCGGGGACGAUAAUGACGGUACCCGGAGAAGAACGCCCGGCUAACUUCGUGCCAGCAGCCGC
RNAcentral lists this ribosomal RNA (446 nucleotides) under uncultured bacterium. RNAcentral's name for it is "SSU rRNA". It matches the Rfam family "Bacterial small subunit ribosomal RNA", at positions 26 to 518 of the family's 1533-position model. The record is from RNAcentral.